AGUUGCGAUCAUACCAUCACUAAUGCACCGGAUCCCAUCAGAACUCCGCAGUUAAGCGUGCUUGGGCGAGAGUAGUAUUAGGAUGGGUGACCCCCUGGGAAGUCCUCGUGUUGCAACCCC
This 120-nucleotide ribosomal RNA is filed under the name Helianthus annuus (common sunflower). Lineage: Eukaryota; Viridiplantae; Streptophyta; Magnoliopsida; Asterales; Asteraceae. The record is from RNAcentral.